GCUCCCAUGGCGUAGUGGUCACUGCGCUCGCCUUGCACGCGGGAGACCCGGGUUUCCUUCCCGGUGGGGUCA
RNAcentral lists this transfer RNA (72 nucleotides) under Diaphorina citri (Asian citrus psyllid). It matches the Rfam family "tRNA". Rfam says of the family: Transfer RNA (tRNA) molecules are approximately 80 nucleotides in length. Their secondary structure includes four short double-helical elements and three loops (D, anti-codon, and T loops). Lineage: Eukaryota; Metazoa; Arthropoda; Insecta; Hemiptera; Psyllidae. The record is from Rfam by way of RNAcentral.